CCAGCUUCCUCCUCUUCCUCCUCCAGCUCCAACUGCAGUGGCAAGGUCUGGGGAUUGAGAGGCCCGGCAUGACUAAGAGAUAUCGUGAAAUUACAACUCAACAAUGAAUUACAGCACAGGCUUUUCACAACUAAGAGACUGUCCAUCAUGGUGCCAGUUUUUCUCAAAAUGGCAUGUGUGCAUGAAAUUCUACAGGCAUAUGGGGUCGUGAUCUGCUAAUCUCCAGUUAUUAUACAAAACUACAGAUACUUGAAAACAGAACCAAAUAAAAAUUCUAGCAGAAGAAGACAAUAUAUGAAAUUUAAUAAUUCAUUUCCUGGGAAUGACAGCAGAAAGGUGAUGACAGAGGAAAGAGCCAAUAAAAUUUGAAGACAGACUACUUUGAAAAGGGACUUUCCAGCUAUCAGUACACUAUCUCACAAUUACCCUUGAACCAGAAGACAAUGAAUGAUUUGCUAAACAGAUGGCAUAGUCUAUGACAUGCAUCAUAUGUGUGAGCAAUCACAGAAGACCAAAUUAUGAUUGUAUGUCCCAGAAAUUCACUUAGAAGCUAAUAGAAAAAAUGAAACCAAAGCCUUUUGGUGAACUAUGACUUGGAAUCCUCCAGGCUUUGGCUUCCAUCACACUCCAUGAACUUGAUGCACAUAAUUUAAUGUAGGCCUCCACCCAAUAUCAUCAGUUCUCUUGCAUGUUGAACCCCCAGUUUCCUGGAUCUGACCAACAUGACCUUAAUGUUCCUAUCAGCUCGACUAAACUUUAAAGAGAUUUCUUCCUCAAUAUGGGCCUCUAACUUCCCUUUUCUUAGAGCAUUUACUUUAGAAAUUUUGCAAUUAUCAAUUUUUUCUCCCUAUUUUUGAGAUGUAAAUUUUCUACAACUCAGGAAUGUCUUUCUCAAGGACAUGAGAGAUAUCCCUUUGAAAUGUAAUUGUGAAAAAUGAUAGCACCUCUAUUUCAAUCUGUGUAGGAGAGUAGGAGCCUAACUCAGGUAAGUGACAUUUAGCAAACUCAGAUGGCCUAAACACAUUCACCAACUUCCCCACUAAUGUACUCCCUACUGGUUCAUGUCAGCAUUUAAUAAUCCUUCUGCUUUCUUUUCAGUGGAGCUGAGUUCAGUCUGUCUCUCUUCUGCAGUGGUCUUCUCUCCCAUUGCAAUGGUCUUGAGUAAAGUGUUCUUUGUUUGUUUUACUUGGAGAUGAUGUCAGUUCAAUAUUGAAGUCUCUCUUCCCUACUACAGUAGUUCAAAUAAAAUCCAUCUUGCCAUUCUUAACAAGUAUUGGUAUAAUUUCUCUUUAACAUUUCUCGUGUCUUUCUCUUAAUUGGUUUCUUCUCUUGUUUUACAGAGCAUGUUAGUCACUAGUUUCUUAAGUCUGAUGAAUGUGCUUUCAUUACAUUUUUAUAUUAAUUGACUGAUAUUUUGGAUGGACACAUUUAUACUGCUUGGUUAAAUACGAUUUUCUCUCAGAAUCAUGUGGAAAUUUCUCCGUUAUUUUCUAGUUUCUGUUUUUGCAGUUGAGAAGUCCAAUAUCAUUUUGCUUCCCUACAUUUUUAAAAAAUGUAACCUGUUUCCAUUCUUUCUUUCUUUUGGUAUUUUGCAUCUGUUUUUAAAAAAGCAAUGAUAUAGUUCCAAAACCAUUGAAGAGUAUAAAGGAUAUUAUAAUAACGUCAUUAUACCCACCAC
RNAcentral lists this long non-coding RNA (1678 nucleotides) under Homo sapiens (human). Its description in RNAcentral is "HSALNT0112714". The record is from RNAcentral. Lineage: Eukaryota; Metazoa; Chordata; Mammalia; Primates; Hominidae.